CAGCCGCCGCGGUAAUACCGGCGGCCCGAGUGGCGGUCACUAUUAUUGGGCUUAAAGCGUCCGUAGCCGGGUUGGGAAGUCCUCCGGGAAAUCUGGCCGCUUAACGGUCAGAAUGCCGGAGGAUACUCCCAGCCUAGGGGGCGGGGGAGGCCGAGGGGAUUCCCGGAGUAGGGGUGGAAUCCUAUAAACCCGGGAGGACCACCUGUGGCGAAGGCGCUCGGCUGGAACGCGUCCGACGGUGAGGGACGAAGGCCAGGGGAGCAAACCGGAUUAGAUACCCGGGUAGUCCUGGCUGUAAACGAUGCGGACUUUGUGUCGGACAAGCUAUGAGCGUGUCCGGUGCCGGAGGGAAACCGUUAAGUCCGCCGCCUGGGGAGUACGGCCGCAAGGCUGAAACUUAAAGGAAUUGGCGGG
RNAcentral lists this ribosomal RNA (414 nucleotides) under uncultured microorganism. RNAcentral's name for it is "bacterial SSU rRNA". It matches the Rfam family "Archaeal small subunit ribosomal RNA", at positions 459 to 872 of the family's 1478-position model. The record is from RNAcentral.